GCACUAUAAACAGGUAAUAUAAUCAACUCCGGAACAUUUUUUCCCAAACCUUUCAUCCUCUCAUAGAGAGAUUGGCAUGCAAAAUCAAUCUCCUCCUGACCAGUCAAGAAAAGAAGUAUGUCACCUUCAGGUUCUGUCAAGUGGAUUUGUAGCACAGUGAUCAAAGCUGCAUCUAAAUAGUCACUUUCUGGCUGUUUGGUGUACAAUAUCUCCACAGGAAAAGUUCUCCCAGGAAUUGUGAAUAUGUUACAGUUGAAGAAAUAUCCUGAAAAUUUCUCAGCAUCUAGUGUGGCAGAUGUGACAAUCAAGCGAAGAUCAGGUCUCCUCUUUACAAGCUGUUUAAGUAACCCAAAAAGGACAUCAGUGUGGAUUGUCCUCUCAUGAGCUUCAUCAAGCAUUACCACUGAAUAUUGAGAAAGAUUAUCAUCAAUCAGAAUCUCCCUAAGUAGCAUGCCAUCUGUCAUGUACUUGAUCACUGUAUCUGGUCCAGUACAAUCCUCAAAACG
Molecule: unclassified non-coding RNA, 506 nt
Filed under: Hevea brasiliensis (rubber tree)
Lineage: Eukaryota; Viridiplantae; Streptophyta; Magnoliopsida; Malpighiales; Euphorbiaceae
Source: RNAcentral